UCCUACUAUUUUCUUUAGAAAUCAUUUCGGGUAAAGAGGAAUGUUUAAAGCGGUCAGUUUUGUAACUAUAGUUAUUGUAUUUACGUGGUAAUCUUAGGUUAUAGUUUGAUGUAAAUGAGUCUGGAAAUAAAUCCGUCAUUUUGUCAUUAUUAAUAUUUUGUAUAAAGAAUUCAUCACAAAGUCUUUCCCGCCGGUCAUAAAGGGUAGUAAUUCCUGCAAUUUCUAAUGCCUCCUUGUAAGUUGAAUUUGGAACAAUGAUUUUUAAUGCACGUUUCUGGAUGGUUCAAUAUCAUCCGAUAAAAAUUUUUGAAUGCUAAAAUGCCACACUUGACAGGCAUAUUCAAGUAUUGGUCUUAUUACUGUUAUAUAAAGAACGACCAGAGUCUUCAUAUCCGCUUUUGAUCGUUUAAGUAACCUCAGCAUAUACAGGCGUUUACAUG
Molecule: non-coding RNA, 440 nt
Organism: Paramuricea clavata
Lineage: Eukaryota; Metazoa; Cnidaria; Anthozoa; Malacalcyonacea; Plexauridae
Source: the annotation of a GenBank genome assembly